RNAcentral lists this ribosomal RNA (798 nucleotides) under uncultured Verrucomicrobiota bacterium. RNAcentral describes it as "bacterial SSU rRNA". It matches the Rfam family "Bacterial small subunit ribosomal RNA", at positions 58 to 833 of the family's 1533-position model. The record is from RNAcentral. Lineage: Bacteria; Pseudomonadati; Verrucomicrobiota.
CAAGUCGAACGGGAUUUUCUUUGGUAGCAAUACCAAAGAAAAUCUAGUGGCGAACGGGUGCGUAACACGUGGGCAAUCUGCCNNUAAAGUGGGGGAUAGCUCGGCGAAAGCCGGAUUAAUACCGCAUGUGAUUACCGGAGAAUUCUUCGGAACAUCAAAGUCGGGGCAACCUGACGCUUUUUGAGGAGCCCGCGGCCUAUCAGCUAGUUGGUGAGGUAACGGCUCACCAAGGCUUUGACGGGUAGCUGGUCUGAGAGGACGACCAGUCACACUGGAACUGAGACACGGUCCAGACACCUACGGGUGGCAGCAGUCGAGAAUUUUUCUCAAUGGGGGAAACCCUGAAGGAGCGACGCCGCGUGGAGGAUGAAGGUCUUCGGGUUGUAAACUCCUGUCAUUUGGGAACAAUGCUUACGUAUUAACUGUAUGUGAGUUGAUAGUACCAGAAGAGGAAGAGACGGCUAACUCUGUGCCAGCAGCCGCGGUAAUACAGAGGUCUCAAGCGUUGUUCGGAUUCAUUGGGCGUAAAGGGUGUGUAGGUGGCGCGCUAAGUCGGGUGUGAAAUUUCGGAGCUUAACUCCGAAACUGCAUUCGAUACUGGCGUGCUUGAGGACUGGAGAGGAGACUGGAAUUCAUGGUGUAGCAGUGAAAUGCGUAGAGAUCAUAAGGAAGACCAGUGGCGAAGGCGGGUCUCUGGACAGUUCCUGACACUGAGACACGAAGGCCAGGGGAGCAAACGGGAUUAGAUACCCCGGUAGUCCUGGCAGUAAACGGUGCACGUUUGGUGUGGGAGGAUUC